This 3065-nucleotide long non-coding RNA is filed under the name Salmo salar (Atlantic salmon). RNAcentral's name for it is "lncRNA (ENSSSAG00000119119.1)". The record is from RNAcentral. Lineage: Eukaryota; Metazoa; Chordata; Actinopteri; Salmoniformes; Salmonidae.
GUUGUCUGGGUCUGGUUAAGGGGGUGUUGUUGUGUUGUCUGGGUCUGGUUGAGGGGGUGUUGUUGUGCUGGACUGUUGUCCGGGUCUGGUUAAGGGGGUGUUGUUGUGCUGGACUGUUGUCCGGGUCUGGUUAAGGGGGUGUUGUUGUGCUGGAUUGUUGUCUGGGUCUGGUUAAGGGGGUGUUGUUGUGUUGUCUGGGUCUGGUUGAGGUGGUGUUGUUGUGCUGGACUGUUGUCUGGGUCUGGUUGAGGGGGUGUUGUUGUGUUGUCUGGGUCUGGUUGAGGGGGUGUUGUUGUCUGGGUCUGGUUUAGGGGGUGUUGUUGAGCUGGACUGUUGUCUGGGUCUGGUUGAGGGGGUGUUGUUGUGCUGGACUGUUGUCUGGUUAAGGGGGUGUUGUUGUGCUGGACUGUUGUCUGGGUCUGGUUAAAGGGGUGUUGUUGUGCUGGACUGUUGUCUGGGUCUGGUUAAGGGGGUGUUGUUGUGUUGUCUGGGUCUGGUUGAGGGGGUGUUGUUGUGCUGGACUGUUGUCUGGGUCUGGUUGAGGGGGUGUUGUGGUGCUGGACUGUUGUCGUGCUGGACUGCUGUCUGGGUCUGGUUGAGGGGGUGUUGUAUGCUGGACUGUUGUCUGGGUCUGGUUAAGGGGGUGUUGUGCUGUUGUCUGGGUCUGGUUAAGGGGGUGUUGUUGUGCUGGACUGUUGUCUGGGUCUGGUUGAGGGGGUGUUGUUGUGCUGGACUGUUGUCUGGGUCUGUGUUGACUGGAGUGUAAUCACCAGCUGUUCCAUCUCCACCUGCCUUACCUCCAGCUGGGGGAAUUUAUCCUUCAUUUCAAUGAGGGAGUAGUACUCUGUGCUGGGAGGUUGACUUUCCGCUGGGGGUUGCUGGUCUGUGGGGUUAUAUAAUGAAGAGGUCUUGGGGUGGCUGGUCUGUGGGGUUAUAUAAUGAAGAGGUCUGGGGGUGGCUCGUCUGUGGGGUUAUAUAAUGAAGAGGUCUUGGGGUUGCUCAUCUGUGGGGUUAUAUAAUGAAGAGGUCUGGUCUGACCCACUCUGGGUGGGGGUAUCUUUCUCAAGGGAGAGCUUCUCCUGCUGAGCUAAUUCUUUGAUUAGGUGAAAGUCCAGCUGAAACUGUUUGGGGUUGUCCUGUACCAAUACUGUUCCAGACUUAUAGAGAUUUAUAUUAGCUGACUCAGAGUCCUCGUUGUCUAGUAUCCUGAGUUUCCACCCCUCGUUAAACCCUGCCCCCGCUUAACAGAGGGGUAGUGUGCUAAUAUAGCACAGUGCCAGGGGAUGGUCUGGUUAAUAUAGCACUGUGCCAUGCCAGGGGAUGGUCUGGUUAAUAUAGCACUGUGCCAUGCCAGGGGAUGGUCUGGUUAAUAUAGUACAGUGCCAGGGGAUGGUCUGGUUAAUAUAGCACUGUGUCAUGCCAGGGGAUGGUCUGGUUAAUAUAGCACUGUGCCAGGGGAUGGUCUGGUUAAUAUAGCACUGUGCCAUGCCAGGGGAUGGUCUGGUUAAUAUAGCACUGUGCCAUGGGAUGGUCUGGUUAAUAUAGCACUGUGCCAUGCCAGGGGAUGGUCUGGUUAAUAUAGCACUGUGUCAUGCCAGGGGAUGGUCUGGUUAAUAUAGCACUGUGCCAGGGGAUGGUCUCAUUUACAACUGCCACCUGGCCAAGAUAAAGCAAAGAAGUUUGACACAUACAACAACACAGAGUUACAGACAAUAAUACAGUAGAAAAAGUCUAUAUACAGUGUGAGCAAAUGAGGUCGGAUAAGGCAAUAAACAGGCCAUGGUGGCGAAGUAAUUACAAUAUAGCAAUUUAACACUGGAAUGGUAGAUGUGCAGAAGAUGAAUGUGCAAGUAGAGAUACCGGGGUGCAAAUGAGCAAGAUAAAUAAAUAAAUACAGUAUGGGGAUGAGGUAGUUGGAUGGGCUGUUUACACAUGGGCUGUUUACCCAGCAGAGACUUGUAGAUGACCUGGAGCCAGUGGGUUUGGCGGCGAGUAUGAAGCGAGGGCCAGCCAAUGAGAGCGUACAGAUCACAGUGGUGGGUAGUGUAUGGGGCUUUGGUGACAAAACGGAUGGCAAUGUGAUAGACUGCAUCCAAUUUGUUGAGUAGAAUGUUGGAGGCUAUUUUUUAUCGCCGAAGUCGAGGAACGGUAGGAUGGUCAGUUUUACGAGGGUAUGUUUGGCAGCAUGAGUGAAGGAUGCUUUGUUGCGAAAUAGGAAGCUGAUUCUAGAUUUAAUUUUGGAUUGGAGAUGCUUAAUGUGAGUCUGGAAGGAGAGUUUACAGUCUAACCAAGACACCUAGGUAUUUGUAGUUGUCCACAUAUUCUAAGUCAGAACCGUCCAGGGUAGUGAUGCUGGACGGGUGGGCAGGUGCAGGCAGCGAUCAGUUGAAGAGCAUGGAUUUAGUUUUACUUGCAUUUAAGAGCAGUUGGAGGCCACGGAAGGAGAGUUGUAUGGCACUGAAGCUUGUCUGGAGGUUAGUUAAAACCUCUUCGCUAUAGGGGGCAGUAUUUUCACGGCCGGAUGAAAAACGUACCCAAAUUAAACGGCCUACUUCUCGGGCCCAGAGUCAAAUAUUUGCAUAUUAUUAGUAGAUUUGGAUAGAAAACACUCUGACGUUUCUAAAACUGUUUGAAUGGUGUCUGUGAGUAUAACAGAACUCAUAUGGCAGGCAAAAACCUGAGAAGAUUCCAAGCAGGAAGUGGCCUGUCUGUAAAUUUGUAGUUCUUCUUUUGGUUCUCUAUCAAAACUACAGUAUCUGAGCUGUUACGUAGCACUUUCUAAGGCUUCCAUUGGCUCUCUAAAGCCUUCAGAAAGCGGAUUGAGGCGUCUCCUGUCUCUGGGCAGAGUAUACUAGCACAGUUUGUCAGUGGUCUGCCUGGUGACAAAGAUAUAGGAUAUGCGCGGUCCUGCGACCAUGCUGUUUUUUCUUUUCCUCUUUGAACGAAUACACUACUGUCCGGUUGGAAUAUUAUCGCUAUUUUACGACAAAAAUACCAUAACAAUUUAUUUGAAACAGCGUUUGACAUGCUUCUAAGUACGGUAAAGGAACAUUUAGAUUUUUUUU